AGANGGGGUUACAAGAUCUGCUAACUCUUCAAUCUGGGAUUAAUUA
This 46-nucleotide transfer RNA is filed under the name Aipysurus foliosquama (leaf-scaled seasnake). RNAcentral's name for it is "partial tRNA-Ser". The record is from RNAcentral. Lineage: Eukaryota; Metazoa; Chordata; Lepidosauria; Squamata; Elapidae.